AUGAGUACUUCCUCUUCUUCCAACAAAUCUUUUACCUUAUCUACUGGCCUGAUCAAAUACAAAGGUAUAAUUUGGAUAGGAAAUUCGCAUGCACUUCAAACCAGCAUUGUUAAGGCUUUUCAUGACAGUCCCCUAGGGGUCAUUUUGGUUUUCCUGUCACUUAUAGAAGGAUCCAUGCUUUAUUUUGUUGGGUGGGUAUGUGCAACUUUAUUAGAGAUUAUGUUAAGUCAACAUAUUAUCUGUCAGCAAGCAAAGCCUAAGAAUGUCAACUACCCUGGCUUGCUCUAUUCUUUACAUGUUCCAAAGCAAGCUUGGGAAAUGAUUACAAUGGAUUUCAUUAGUGGCUUGCCUACUUCUGGCCGAAUUAAUUGUAUUCUAGUGGUCAUUGACAAAUUCACCAAGUAUGGUAAUUUUAUUCCUCUCCAACAUCCAUUCAUUGCUCAAACUGUAGCUGAAGUGUUUAUUGACAAUAUCUACAAGUUGCACAUCCUGCCCAAGUAUAUAGUUUCAGAUAGAUACCCUAUCUUCACUAGUACAUCUUGGAAACUGAUUAUGAAGGCC
Molecule: ribosomal RNA, 561 nt
Filed under: Triticum aestivum (bread wheat)
Lineage: Eukaryota; Viridiplantae; Streptophyta; Magnoliopsida; Poales; Poaceae
Description: partial small subunit ribosomal RNA
Source: RNAcentral